UACGUAGGGGACAAGCGUUGUCCGGAAUCACUGGGCGUAAAGGGCACGUAGGCGGUUUAUUAAGUCUGAUGUGAAAGGUCUCGGCUCAACCGAGGACAUGCAUUGGAAACUGGUAGACUUGAGUACUGGAGAGGCAAGUGGAAUUCCUAGUGUAGCGGUGAAAUGCGUAGAUAUUAGGAGGAACACCGGUGGCGAAGGCGGCUUGCUGGACAGAUACUGACGCUGAGGUGCGAAAGCGUGGGGAGCAAAC
This 250-nucleotide ribosomal RNA is filed under the name uncultured prokaryote. Its description in RNAcentral is "partial 16S ribosomal RNA". It matches the Rfam family "Bacterial small subunit ribosomal RNA", at positions 524 to 773 of the family's 1533-position model. The record is from RNAcentral.